UAGAUUCUAGACUAGUUAUAUAUGUACAUAAAAUAUAUAAAUAAAAGAUAAAAUUUAUGCAGGCCUAGAUCCCAUAAAUUUAUAAUUGAUCCAGAUCUAUCAGUAAAAGUUACCUUCGACGGGAAGUUUUACCCAAUCUAAUCUAUACAAGACAAUUUAUAAUCCAUGCCUCGCCUACACCCCAUACAUUAAAUAAUAGUUUCCAUUCCAUGCCAUGCCCAGACCCAUGAGUUCAUGAAAUAAUAAAUGAUGUGGUGUCAAUUAUGGAUCUAUCCCCUGAAAUUUAGGACUUUAAUAUAAAACUCACAUAUCUAGUUAAUUAUUUGCUAUGACACUCUGAUCAACUUUGACUUGUGUGAUACAUAUAUGUUUCUUAUCAGAUUUAAUGAAUGAAGUUUUGGUGCAUUUUAAGGCUACAAAAGUAUCAUCAGGUGUAUUCUAACCAUUGGUAUUUUUCCUCGCAACAUUUCUUUUCUAGUCUGUGAUAAAUUAUAAAUUUAAAAAAAUGUUUGUAAUGUUUCAGUUAUUAACAAGUAGAACCAUGCCAACCAGUUCUGAUGAUGUACCAGAAUGGCUCAAGGAUCAUACUUAUACUAUUUCUACUCUCUGGGCAGACAUUAAUAAUAUUGGCAUCCAUUCAAUAUUUAUUUUAUGUUUGGAAAUGGAAGAAAAAGGCAUGCAUUCCUAACAAGUCAAUGAUUGGUUGCACCUCUAAAGAUAACUUUCUGUUAUGAGAAAAGAUGAGAUUCUUGGACUCCUGCAUAGCACCACCAGAAAGGAAAAUCCCAUCAUGCAUGUUGCAAAAUAAAAGUCUUGGACCAAUUUUAAUUUAAGAUAUAUUAUACUGUAAGCUCUAUACAUAUUUAUGUUUAUCCUGUCAUUCAGCCAACAGGUUUGGAUUUAGUAUUUCUUUAAAUCUGUUUGAUAUUGUACUUGAAAACUAUUAAUCUGAGCCCCAUUAAAACAAUAGGGAGUGCAGUGAAUGAGUGGUAAAGCACUUGGCUUCUGAACUGAGGGUUCCUGGGUUCGAUUAAGACAGGGAUUUUCAAUUUCAGAAUUCAAAAGGCUAGGGAUACAUGGCAAUAGUAAGGAAUAAGUAAAGGCAGUUUGGGGAUCCAUGGCUGAAUGGUUAAGUCAUGGGUUUGAAUCUCUGUGAAGACUCAGAUUAAAUUUUUUUUUAGAUUUUUGGGUGCCCCUGAGUCCACCUAACUCUAAUGGGUAGCUGACUUUCGUUUUGGAAAGUAAAGAUGGUUGGUUGUUGUGCUGGCCACAUGAUGCACUGGCCAAAGAAUCAAAUGACCCUAUAGAUUGUGACGUCUGAAAUGGGAUUUUUUUUCAAAAGGUGGUUGGUUGUUGUGCUGGGUACAUGACACCCUCGCUAACCAUGGGGCACAGAAACUGAUAAACUUUAUAUCAUCUGCCCCAUAGAUUGCAAGAUAUGUAAGGGAAAUUUUACUUUUUUAAAAUUAAAAUAAGAAUCUAUCAAAAGUAAACAUAAAAUAUGGUGCAUUCUCCUUAAAACUAAAACCUGGUGCGAAGGUUUAAAAUGUUGGCAAAAAAAAGCAACAUCAUAUAUUCUUAAUUCCCUUUGCAAAACUUACUGAGAAGAAUAUGCAUGUUGUUCCCUCAUAAGUUUCUUGACAGAGGAAAUCUUGUUUAUAUUAGAUUUGAAUUAAGCAAAUUAAGAAAAAAUUAUAAUCAUUAUUUCAAAUGGUUGUAUCUAAACCUUUUAUGAAUUAUUUUUCAGUCAUAAGUAUAUUGAGAUUAAUGGAUAAUCAUGAAAUUGUUAAAUAAUUGCUGCUAUCAUUCCAUUGACUAAAGAACCAUAAUUUUUUUUUUUUUAAAUUAAUUUCAAAAUGAUUUUUUUCAAGCAUAGAGUUCACAUAGAUCUUGAGUGAAUUUUUUUUUUCUAUUUGACUAAUGCUUCAAUUUUAUUGUAUCAUAUUAGUUGUUAAUUUUUAUUACCCAGAAUAAUGCCUGUACUUCAGAAUAUUUAAAAAAUGAGUACACUAUUUUCAUGUAAUAAUGUAACUUGGUAUUCACACAAUGCUCAAAAUACACCAUAAUCUUUAGGCCAUACAGAUUUGUAUAAAUUAACUUGUUUAAAUACAUUGUAAAUGUAUAUUGUUUGGAUAAGAAUAAAGUUUUUCUGUAGACAAUUAUUGUUCAAGAUUUGUUGAUGCUCCUGCUUAAUCAAUUAUAUAUACAGGUCAUUAGUUUUAACACGUCUGAUAAUAAAUGACAGUACAAGUUAGUGAAUGAAAAUUUGUCAUUAUUUCAGCUGCUUUAGUCCUACAUCAAUGUGAGGUACCAGUACUUUGAUUGUGUCAUAUAACAAUUUAAAGCAACAUUUUGAAAUGAAUAGUCUGUAGAAUUGACAGUAAAUACAUUUAAGUGAUGGGCUGUGAUCUGCGUGAAUUGAGAGCUGAUAAUGUAUUGAAUUUGUGUUUUUGAUCUUUACUUCAAGUAAAUGUUAAUGAGCAAUUAAUUUUUAAUGAAUAAAUAAUUUAAAAAUAAAUACAAAAGAACCAUAAACAUCUACUUUAGUUUAAUAAUUUUUUUUCAUCAGAACAGAAUUUCCAACUUUGCAUUCUUAAAAUAAAAUAUAAUUUA
This is a long non-coding RNA of Biomphalaria glabrata, 2613 nucleotides long. RefSeq lists it as uncharacterized. The record is from RefSeq and is a predicted model, not a curated record. The transcript is spliced from 3 exons. NCBI's taxonomy places the organism in Eukaryota, Metazoa, Mollusca, Gastropoda, Planorbidae.